UACUCUCACGCCCAAAGGUUUUCGAACCGGAGGGACCGUGGACUUGGACGCCUUUGCCGCUUCACUGCGACACGUCUCAAAUGCGUUAGUAUGACCGGCUUGCGAAAGUGUCAUCUGGUGUGAUAAGCAUCUUCACCGGAGUUUCAGGGACCCUCUCUGAGGAACCCGCGCUCAGUUCGCCUUUGGUCGGCUGCCAACCGUCCAUUCUGGACAAACCUUACUUUGACA
This 228-nucleotide unclassified non-coding RNA is filed under the name uncultured Sebacinaceae. RNAcentral describes it as "sequence contains ITS2". The record is from RNAcentral. RNAcentral also lists the same sequence under 1 other name. Lineage: Eukaryota; Fungi; Basidiomycota; Agaricomycetes; Sebacinales; Sebacinaceae.